UUGACGGGGCCCGCACAAGCGGUGGAGCAUGUGGUUAAUUCGACGCAACGCGAAGAACCUUACCAGGGCUUGACAUCCCCUGACCGCGUAUGAAAGUACGUUUUCACCCUCGGGUGACAGGGAGACAGGUGGUGCAUGGUUGUCGUCAGCUCGUGUCGUGAGAUGUUGGGUUAAGUCCCGCAACGAGCGCAACCCCUACGUUUAGUUGCUAACGCGUGAAGGCGAGCACUCUAGACGAACUGCCGUUGACAAAACGGAGGAAGGUGGGAUGACGUCAAAUCAUCAUGCCCCUUAUGUUCUGGGCUACACACGUGCUACAAUGGCCGGUACAGACGGACGCAAAGCCGCGAGGUGGAGCAAAUCCUAAAAAGCCGGUCUCAGUUCGGAUUGCAGGCUGCAAUUCGCCUGCAUGAAGUCGGAAUCGCUAGUAAUCGCAGGCCAGCAUACUGCGGUGAAUACGUUCCCGGGCCUU
This 472-nucleotide ribosomal RNA is filed under the name uncultured Pelotomaculum sp. Its description in RNAcentral is "bacterial SSU rRNA". It matches the Rfam family "Bacterial small subunit ribosomal RNA", at positions 910 to 1382 of the family's 1533-position model. Lineage: Bacteria; Bacillati; Bacillota; Clostridia; Eubacteriales; Desulfotomaculaceae. The record is from RNAcentral.